GAUGAACGCUGGCGGCGUGCCUAAUACAUGCAAGUCGAGCGAACGGACGAGAAGCUUGCUUCUCUGAUGUUAGCGGCGGACGGGUGAGUAACACGUGGAUAACCUACCUAUAAGACUGGGAUAACUUCGGGAAACCGGAGCUAAUACCGGAUAAUAUUUUGAACCGCAUGGUUCAAAAGUGAAAGACGGUCUUGCUGUCACUUAUAGAUGGAUCCGCGCUGCAUUAGCUAGUUGGUAAGGUAACGGCUUACCAAGGCAACGAUGCAUAGCCGACCUGAGAGGGUGAUCGGCCACACUGGAACUGAGACACGGUCCAGACUCCUACGGGAGGCAGCAGUAGGGAAUCUUCCGCAAUGGGCGAAAGCCUGACGGAGCAACGCCGCGUGAGUGAUGAAGGUCUUCGGAUCGUAAAACUCUGUUAUUAGGGAAGAACAUAUGUGUAAGUAACUGUGCACAUCUUGACGGUACCUAAUCAGAAAGCCACGGCUAACUACGUGCCAGCAGCCGCGGUAAUACGUAGGUGGCAAGCGUUAUCCGGAAUUAUUGGGCGUAAAGCGCGCGUAGGCGGUUUUUUAAGUCUGAUGUGAAAGCCCACGGCUCAACCGUGGAGGGUCAUUGGAAACUGGAAAACUUGAGUGCAGAAGAGGAAAGUGGAAUUCCAUGUGUAGCGGUGAAAUGCGCAGAGAUAUGGAGAAACACCAGUGGCGAAGGCGACUUUCUGGUCUGUAACUGACGCUGAUGUGCGAAAGCGUGGGGAUCAAACAGGAUUAGAUACCCUGGUAGUCCACGCCGUAAACGAUGAGUGCUAAGUGUUAGGGGGUUUCCGCCCCUUAGUGCUGCAGCUAACGCAUUAAGCACUCCGCCUGGGGAGUACGACCGCAAGGUUGAAACUCAAAGGAAUUGACGGGGACCCGCACAAGCGGUGGAGCAUGUGGUUUAAUUCGAAGCAACGCGAAGAACCUUACCAAAUCUUGACAUCCUUUGACAACUCUAGAGAUAGAGCCUUCCCCUUCGGGGGACAAAGUGACAGGUGGUGCAUGGUUGUCGUCAGCUCGUGUCGUGAGAUGUUGGGUUAAGUCCCGCAACGAGCGCAACCCUUAAGCUUAGUUGCCAUCAUUAAGUUGGGCACUCUAAGUUGACUGCCGGUGACAAACCGGAGGAAGGUGGGGAUGACGUCAAAUCAUCAUGCCCCUUAUGAUUUGGGCUACACACGUGCUACAAUGGACAAUACAAAGGGCAGCGAAACCGCGAGGUCAAGCAAAUCCCAUAAAGUUGUUCUCAGUUCGGAUUGUAGUCUGCAACUCGACUACAUGAAGCUGGAAUCGCUAGUAAUCGUAGAUCAGCAUGCUACGGUGAAUACGUUCCCGGGUCU
This 1372-nucleotide ribosomal RNA is filed under the name uncultured bacterium. Its description in RNAcentral is "bacterial SSU rRNA". It matches the Rfam family "Bacterial small subunit ribosomal RNA", at positions 28 to 1381 of the family's 1533-position model. The record is from RNAcentral.